Molecule: long non-coding RNA, 701 nt
Filed under: Cricetulus griseus (Chinese hamster)
Lineage: Eukaryota; Metazoa; Chordata; Mammalia; Rodentia; Cricetidae
Description: lncRNA (ENSCGRG00000025666.1)
Source: RNAcentral
AAGUAAGUCUUUCUUACUCUACACGUAGAAUUUUGUAAGGCUGCCUCACUCUUGAAAGCUUGCAACACCAAUGAGCACUUUUCUCUUUGUAGCUUGUCAAUUCUGGAGAGGAUGUCCUCGUGUUCUACAAUGACAGAGCCUCUUUCCAGACUCUGAUCCAGAUGAUGCGGUCCGAGCGUGACCGGAUGGAUGAGAACAGCCCUCUCAUGUACCACAUCCAUCUGGUGGAACUCUUGGCCGUGUGCACAGAGGGCAAGAAUGUGUACACAGAGAUCAAGUGCAACUCCUUGCUCCCGCUUGAUGACAUCGUUCGUGUGGUCACUCAUGAAGACUGCAUCCCGGAGGUUAAAAUCGCUUACAUUAACUUCCUGAAUCACUGCUAUGUGGACACUGAGGUGGAAAUGAAGGAGAUUUACACAAGCAAUCACAUGUGGAAAUUGUUCGAGAAUUUCCUUGUGGACAUCUGCAGGGUGAGGCGUGUCUGUGUGUGUGUGUGUGUGUGUGUGUGUGUGUGUGUGUGUGUGUGUGUGUGUGUGUGUGUGUGUGCUGUUUGUCACUGGAAGCCUUCACUGUGCAUCUUGGGGAGCCAUAGGCAGACUUUGUUAUGUGUAUUUUUCCUCAAUGUGUGUCCACCUCAUUAGUUACUUUUCUCAAGUGUCCACUGCAAUGAUCAGACCUGACUGACAGGCCUACCUUUUCUG